Molecule: long non-coding RNA, 538 nt
Organism: Peromyscus californicus insignis
Lineage: Eukaryota; Metazoa; Chordata; Mammalia; Rodentia; Cricetidae
Exons: 4
Source: RefSeq, a predicted model, not a curated record
CUCCACUCACGAAGGCCCAACAAACCAGGCUUCGUUGGGGAGCCGCCUCCGGGAAAGGUCAGAGUUUGUCAUUCAUUAAACCCCAAACGCCGCGAGCCUACUGGCCUUACAGCAGUUCCCGUAGCCCCGCCUCGCCGCGUUGUAUUGUGGGAGCUGUAGUUCUGGACUGCCCAGGGUUUGGAAGGAGUAAGAAGGAAGACCUGUUAAGAAUCUGAGGUUUGAAGAAUUUGAAGUCUUCAUUCAGAAGAAAACUACUCCAGACCUUUUAAAGCAUACUACUCUUGAAGAAGCUGCUGAAGAGAUGUCUGCCAAGUCUAGCUGCCCCAGAAAAGAAUGACAGCAAAAGGAUGAGAUCCACCCUAAAGGUGAUCAUUGUGAGCUUCAGAUUAAGAAGAUGGACUUAUUAUGCUUUUAAAGAAAACUUACCCAUGUAUUCGAGAGAUCCAUAUCUGUGUAAGAAGACUUGAGACGCAGUUGGUGACCGCAGGAGCAACAGCCGCCCCAGUGGCCUCCUUGGGCAAUUGGAAAAUCAACACCU